Molecule: non-coding RNA, 928 nt
Filed under: Sphaenorhynchus carneus
Lineage: Eukaryota; Metazoa; Chordata; Amphibia; Anura; Hylidae
Description: partial 12S ribosomal RNA
Rfam family: Bacterial small subunit ribosomal RNA
Source: RNAcentral
UGGUCCUAACUUUGAAAUCAAUUUUUACUCAAUUUACACAUGCAAGUUUCCGCCACCCUGUGAAAACGCCCUCAUACCCCUAUUAGGGGAAAGGAGCUGGUAUCAGGCCCAACAAUUAGCCCAAGACACCUAGCUAUGCCACACCCACAAGGGAACUCAGCAGUGAUUAACAUUAGAUAUUAGCGACAGCUUGAUCCAGUUAAAGUAAAUAGAGCCGGCUAAUCUGGUGCCAGCCGCCGCGGUUACACCACGUGGCUCAAAUUGAUUUCCUUCGGCGUAAAGCGUGAUUUAAGAGUUAUUUUUUAAUAUAAUUAAAUUAGAAUUAAGCUGUGACACGCUUAUAUCUGAGAAAACCAAUAACGAAAGUCAUUAUAUUUAAAUCAACUUGAACCCACGACAGCUAGAACACAAACUGGGAUUAGAUACCCCACUAUGUCUAGCCGUAAACUUUUAUUUACUCCUUAAUCGCCUGGGAACUACGAGCAAAGCUUAAAACCCAAAGGACUUGACGGUACCCCACAUCCACCUAGAGGAGCCUGUCCUACAAUCGAUAACCCCCGUUAAACCUCACCAUUUUUAGCCUAUUCAGCUUGUAUACCUCCGUCGUCAGCUUACCACGUGAGCGAACUGAAGUGAGCUUAAUGUUUUUACAUCAAUACGUCAGGUCAAGGUGCAGCAAAUGAAAUGGGAAGAGAUGGGCUACACUUUCUAUUUUAGAAAAUACGAAAAACUAAAUAUGAAAUUCUAGUUAGAAGAUGGAUUUAGAAGUAAAAAGAAAAAACGAGUGUUCUUUUUAAAUUGGCACUGGGGUGUGUACACACCGCCCGUCACCCUCAUCAUUGUACUAAACAUAGUUAAUAACAAACAAACACAGUGUAGAAGAGGUAAGUCGUAACAUGGUAAGUAUACCGGAAGGUGUGCUUGGAAA